This 237-nucleotide ribosomal RNA is filed under the name uncultured bacterium. Its description in RNAcentral is "partial 16S ribosomal RNA". It matches the Rfam family "Bacterial small subunit ribosomal RNA", at positions 15 to 237 of the family's 1533-position model. The record is from RNAcentral.
GAUCCUGGCUCAGGAUGAACGCUAGCGACAGGCCUAACACAUGCAAGUCGAGGGGCAGCGAAGAGGUAGCAAUACCUUUGUCGGCGACCGGCGCACGGGUGAGUAACACGUAUGCAAUCCACCUGUAACAGGGGGAUAACCCGGAGAAAUCCGGACUAAUACCCACAUAAUAGUGGGCGCUCCGCAUGGAGACGCCAUUAAAGAGAGCUAAGUUUUGGUUACAGACGAGCAUGCGCU